RNAcentral lists this long non-coding RNA (492 nucleotides) under Sorghum bicolor (sorghum). Its description in RNAcentral is "long non-coding RNA (SBIC_LNC018546)". The record is from RNAcentral. Lineage: Eukaryota; Viridiplantae; Streptophyta; Magnoliopsida; Poales; Poaceae.
CUGAUGUGAACCCACUAGGGUUUUCGCCUGAUCUUUCGAUGAGAGGCGCUGGAUAACUUGAUUAGUGAAUGGAGAUGACGUUCACGGCCCGACUACAGCCCUCAAGACUGCGCCUUAGCAACCGAUACACCGCCUCCAAUGGCUGUCACGAUCUUGUGGAGCGCAACACCCGGCCACUAGGGCACUCGUCCUGCAAGCAAUCGAAGAACCAGCAAGAACAAGUAGGACAAGUACUAAAUUACCAGAUGUAAAUGAAGGUUUCAAACUCAAUCUCUAAUGAAGUGGGGUUUCGAAAACAAGAAGACGGGCGGCUGGAUCAGCACGCGCGCUUACAAGCAAGUAGCGAAGGCUAAACUUUAUUUAAUCAAAACCCAGUUGUUCAUGGCGGCUCUAGAUGUAAAUAAAUAGAGGGGAGGACGACCAAAGGGGUGCUAGAGUCGUCCUCCAACCCUAGGACGCGUCCCUAAUGGACUCAACUUGAUACAUGGGCCA